This 297-nucleotide small nuclear RNA is filed under the name Rattus norvegicus (Norway rat). RNAcentral's name for it is "7SK RNA". It matches the Rfam family "7SK RNA". Rfam says of the family: 7SK was discovered as an abundant small nuclear RNA in the mid-70s but a possible function has only recently been suggested. Lineage: Eukaryota; Metazoa; Chordata; Mammalia; Rodentia; Muridae. The record is from Rfam by way of RNAcentral.
GGAUGUGAGGACAAGCUGGCCCUAACAUCUGUCACCCCACUAAUCACCAGGGUUGAUCCAUCUGACUAGACAGGCACCCCAUCCUCCCUCACUGCUCCAUGUACAUCCAGUAGCUGCGCACUAGGUUGACGUAGACUACCUUCUCCCUUCCAUCAAGGGUGUAUAAGUGUCUGUAUUCCUCCAUUAGAGCUGCCAGGCAAGCACUCAAAAAGGUUUAUGGCACCAAGCAUAGUGUCUUAGUUACUGUUCUAUUGCUGUGAAAACCCACUAUGACUCUUAUAGAAGAAAGCAUUUAAU